Long non-coding RNA from Oncorhynchus mykiss (rainbow trout), 1683 nucleotides. NCBI's taxonomy places the organism in Eukaryota, Metazoa, Chordata, Actinopteri, Salmoniformes, Salmonidae. The record is from Ensembl.
AUGUCCCUCCCUUUGGUUCCUUCCCUAUAUAUGUCACUCCCUUUGGUUCCUUCCCUAUGUCACUCCCUUUGGUUCCUUCCCUAUAUAUGUCCAUCCCUUUGGUUCCUUCCCUAUAUAUGUCCCUCCCUUUGGUUCCUUCCCUAUAUAUGUCACUCCCUUUGGUUCCUUCCCUAUAUAUGUCACUCCCAUUGGUUCCCUCCCUAUAUAUGUCACUCCCUUUGGUUCCUUCCCUAUAUAUGUCACUCCCUUUGGUUCCUUCCCUAUGUCACUCCCAUUGGUUCCUUCCCUAUAUAUGUCACUCCCAUUGGUUCCUUCCCUAUAUAUGUCACUCCCAUUGGUUCCUUCCCUAUAUAUGUCACUCCCUUUGGUUCCUUCCCUAUAUAUGUCACUCCCAUUGGUUCCUUCCCUAUAUAUGUCACUCCCAUUGGUUCCCUCCCUAUAUAUGUCACUCCCUUUGGUUCCUUCCCUAUAUAUGUCACUCCCUUUGGUUCCUUCCCUAUGUCACUCCCAUUGGUUCCUUCCCUAUAUAUGUCACUCCCUUUGGUUCCUUCCCUAUAUAUGUCACUCCCAUUGGUUCCUUCCCUAUAUAUGUCACUCCCAUUGGUUCCUUCCCUAUAUAUGUCACUCCCUUUGGUUCCUUCCCUAUAUAUGUCCCUCCCUUUGGUUCCUUCCCUAUAUAUGUCUCUCCCUUUGGUUCCUUCCCUAUAUAUGUCACUCCCUUUGGUUCCUUCCCUAUGUCACUCCCAUUGGUUCCUUCCCUAUAUAUGUCACUCCCUUUGGUUCCUUCCCUAUAUAUGUCCCUCCCUUUGGUUCCUUCCCUAUAUAUGUCACUCCCUUUGGUUCCUUCCCUAUAUAUAUGUCACUCCCUUUGGUUCCUUCCCUAUAUAUGUAACUCCCUUUGGUUCCUUCCCUAUAUAUGUCACUCCCAUUGGUUCCUUCCCUAUAUAUGUCACUCACUUUGGUUCCUGCCCUAUAUAUGUCCCUCCCUUUGGUUCCUUCCCUAUAUAUGUCUCUCCCUUUGGUUCCUUCCCUAUAUAUGUCACUCCCUUUGGUUCCUUCCCUAUGUCACUCCCAUUGGUUCCUUCCCUAUAUAUGUCACUCCCUUUGGUUCCUUCCCUAUAUAUGUCACUCCCUUUGGUUCCUUCCCUAUAUAUGUCCCUCCCUUUGGUUCCUUCCCUAUAUAUGUCACUCCCUUUGGUUCCUUCCCUAUAUAUGUCACUCCCUUUGGUUCCUUCCCUAUGUCAAUUCCAUUGGUUCCCUCCCUAUAUAUGUCCCUCCCUUUGGUUCCUUCCCUAUAUAUGUCACUCCCUUUGGUUCCUUCCCUGUAUAUGCACUCCCUUUGGUUCCCUCCCUAUAUAUGUCACUCCCUUUGGUUCCUUCCCUAUAUAUGUCACUCCCUUUGGUUCCUUCCCUAUAUAUGUCUCUCCCUUUGGUUCCUUCCCUAUAUAUAUGUCACUCCCUUUGGUUCCUUCCCUAUUUAUGUCACUCCCUUUGGUUCCUUCCCUAUAUAUAUAUAUAUAUAUAUAUAUAUAUAUAUAUAUAUAUAUAUAUAUAUAUAUAUAUAUAUAUACAUAUAUCUGUCUCUCCCUUUGUUUCCUUCCCCAGGCGUCAUUGUUUCUGUUCCAGUUUCAUGUCUGUGUGUUGUUCAUGUUUCUUGUUUUGUAUAAUUUGUUUAUUAAAUGA